UACGUAGGUGGCAAGCGUUGUCCGGAUUUACUGGGCGUAAAGGGCGUGCAGGCGGUUUGUUAAGUGCAGGGUGAAAGCUCCCGGCUCAACUGGGAGAGGUCCUUGCAUACUGGCAAACUCGAGGGAGGCAGAGGAAAGUGGAAUUCCCGGUGUAGUGGUGAUAUGCGUAGAUAUCGAGAGGAACAUCGGUGGCGAAGGCGGCCUUCUGGACGGUGACUGACGCUGAGAUGCGAAAGCGUGGGGAGCAAACAGG
This 253-nucleotide ribosomal RNA is filed under the name uncultured bacterium. RNAcentral's name for it is "partial 16S ribosomal RNA". It matches the Rfam family "Bacterial small subunit ribosomal RNA", at positions 524 to 776 of the family's 1533-position model. The record is from RNAcentral.